GUGUAUGUUAAACCAACUUAACUCUAACUGUGGGUGUCGCCAGUUCCCAGGAAAGAAAAUGAGAGAAUAGAUGCAAGCUCUUAUCACCGGAAAAUUUCACCGCAUGACAUAAAUCAUGAAAACAGGAUGUAUUUCAACAAGGAAGAACACUGAGAAAACUAUUUAGUGAGGCUGGUUGUGAUGGCUCAUGCCAGUAAUCCCAACACUUUGGGAGACCAAGGAGGGAGGAUGCCUUGAGGUCAGGAGUUCAAGACCAGCUGGGGCAACACAGCAAGACUCCGUCUCUACAAAAAAUAUUAAAAAAUAGCCAGGAGUGGGGGCGUGCGCCUGUGGUCCAGCUACUCAGGAAGCUGAGGUGGAAGGAUUUCUUGAUCCCAGGAAGCAGAGGUUGCAGUGAGCCCUGAUCACAUCACUGCACACCAGCUUGGGCAACAGAGGGAGACUCUGUCUUCAAUAAUAAUAAUAAUAAAUAAAUUUUUAAAAAUUACAGCUGAACAGUAUGGUGAAAGCCUUGAAGUCCUGAGGAGCAUCUAUCCUGAAAACCAUGAGGACAUUGUGAAGGCGGAAGCUUAUAGCCCUGGAUGACUGAUUGGAUGAGAAGUGUGAAGGAGAGGGUGCAGAGAUAACCCUGAGGUUUCUUGACUGGAUGACAAGGAAAAUGGUCAUGCUACUAAGAUAAAUAAGAAAACCAAGAGAAAGUCCAGGCAGGAGAUCAUUUGAGCCCAGGAGUUAGAGGCCAGCCUGGACAACAAAGCGAGACCCUCUACAACAAAAAAAAAAAAAAAAAAAAAAAAGCCAGGCGUGGUGGCACAUACCUGUAGUCCUAGCUACUCAGGAGGCUGAGGCAAGAGGAUCACUUGAGUCUAGGAGUUCCAGGCUGCAGUAAGCUAUGAUCUCACCACUGCACUCCAGCCUGGGUGACAGAGUGAAACCCUAUUAAAAAAAAGAAAAGAAAAGAAAAAGAAAAUCAAGAGAAAGAGGAGUUGCAUCACAAAUAUACUCACAUUCCUAUGCUGAUAUGUAAAGAAAAUGUAAUUUCUUUAUUUCUCCAUAACCAACCAAAAUUUUCAAGUGAGAUCCCAUUUUCUGGGUAACAGGAAACUGUACUUGGGCUUUAAGUUUGCCAAAGAUUGGCCAGGUGCAGUGGCUCACACCUGUAAUCCCAGCACUUUGGGAGGCUGAGGUGGGCGGAUCACCUGAGGUUGGAGACUAGCCUGGCUGACACAGCAAAACCCCAUCUCUACUAAAAAUACAAAAAUUAGCUGGGUGUGGUGGUGCGUGCCUGUAAUCCCAGCUACUUGGGAGGCUGAGGCAGGAGAAUCGCUUGAACAUGGUAGGCGGAAUUUGCAGUGAGCUGAGAUCGCGCCAUUGCACUCCAGCCUGGGUGACAAGAGCAAAACUCCACCUCAAAAAAAAAAAAAAAAGUUUGCCAAAGAUUGGUACCUCAGUCUCUGGAUGCUUUGAUUUCUUGAACAAAUGCUCAGUCUCCACCCAGACCCCACUGGUACCUCCCAGCCCUCUAGUCUUUCUCCAAGAGGCAUCUAGGUAUGCAGAGUUGGAAUUGGCUGGAUCACCAGGGCUCUUGAUGACCUCAUGGAGGUAAAGUUGAUUAUGAAGUUUGUAAUGUAUAAAUUGUAAAAUAACGAGCAGCUUAUUUAGAAGAUCAUAAAAGCAAGAAUAGCCAGGAAGCCUCUGCUAAACAUGUGUAACAGGAAUGGGAGAAACGGAAAAAUAUUACAAAGCCUCUGUGGUUAAACCAGUGUGGUGUUGGCACAUAAAUAGACACACAGACCAAGAAACAGACUAGAACAUCUAGAACAAGAUGCAAUUGCUUAUGGAAACUUAGUAUAUAAUAAAAGAGCCAACUCAAAUCAGUGGAGAAAGAAGGACAUUUUUUAAAGUGGUUUUAGGGCCAGGCAAGGUGGUCUUAUGCCUGUAAUCCCAGCACUUUGAAGAGGCUGAGGCAGGAGGAUCCUUGAGAACAGGAAUUGGAGACCAGCCUGAGUAACAUAGUGAGACUCCAUCUCUACAAAAAUAAAACAUAAAAAUUAGCCAAACCUGGCGGUGCACACCUGCAGCUCCAGCUACUCAGGAGGCUGAGGCAAGAGCCUAGAAGUUCAAGGACGUAGUGAGCUAUGACCCGCCACUGCACACCAGCUUUGGCAACAGAGUGAGACUCUGUCUCCAAAAGAUAAAAAAGAAAAAAGUGGUUUUAGGGUAUCUGGAUAGUCAUGCAGAACAAUAUAACAUGGACUCCAUUCUUCACAUGGUACACUGGGAUAAAUUCCAAAUCAGAGACUUACGUGUGCAAAAUUAAGCCCUACAACUAAUAGAAGAAAACAUGAGUGUAAUCCUUUGAAACUUUUGCACAGAGAAAACUUUCCUAAGGCUUAAAAUCCUGAAGCAAUGAGAGAAAAAGAUUGAUAAAUUUGUUGACAUUAAAACAACUGUGCAUGGCCAAAAACCCAUAAGCAACAUAUCACAUACUGGGAAAAAUAUUCUAGACAAAGGGUUAUCAUCCCUAAAUAUAUGAGUAGCUUCUAAAUUAAAGAAGAAAAAGGCCAACAAGUUGAUAGAAAAUUGGACUAGAGAAAUAGACAAGUCAUAGAAAAUGAAAUCCAAAUGGCCCUUAACCAUAUGAAAAAAUUCCCAGUCUUCCCUAUAAUAAGAAAACUGUAAAUUAAAACUCACAAAGAUACAGCCGGGCGCGGUGGCUCACGCCUGUAAUCCCAGCCCUUUG
RNAcentral lists this long non-coding RNA (2740 nucleotides) under Homo sapiens (human). Its description in RNAcentral is "HSALNT0136148". The record is from RNAcentral. Lineage: Eukaryota; Metazoa; Chordata; Mammalia; Primates; Hominidae.